Molecule: ribosomal RNA, 1049 nt
Filed under: Pestalotiopsis sp. 1 AE-2013
Lineage: Eukaryota; Fungi; Ascomycota; Sordariomycetes; Amphisphaeriales; Sporocadaceae
Description: eukaryotic LSU rRNA
Rfam family: Eukaryotic large subunit ribosomal RNA (bases 467-1049)
Source: RNAcentral
UUAUAGAGUUUUCUAAACUCCCAACCCAUGUGAACUUACCUUUUGUUGCCUCGGCAGAAGUUAUAGGUCUUCUUAUAGCUGCUGCCGGUGGACCAUUAAACUCUUGUUAUUUUAUGUAAUCUGAGCGUCUUAUUUUAAUAAGUCAAAACUUUCAACAACGGAUCUCUUGGUUCUGGCAUCGAUGAAGAACGCAGCGAAAUGCGAUAAGUAAUGUGAAUUGCAGAAUUCAGUGAAUCAUCGAAUCUUUGAACGCACAUUGCGCCCAUUAGUAUUCUAGUGGGCAUGCCUGUUCGAGCGUCAUUUCAACCCUUAAGCCUAGCUUAGUGUUGGGAAUCUACUUCUUUUAUUAGUUGUAGUUCCUGAAAUACAACGGCGGAUUUGUAGUAUCCUCUGAGCGUAGUAAUUUUUUUCUCGCUUUUGUUAGGUGCUAUAACUCCCAGCCGCUAAACCCCCAAUUUUUUGUGGUUGACCUCGGAUCAGGUAGGAAUACCCGCUGAACUUAAGCAUAUCAAUAAGCGGAGGAAAAGAAACCAACAGGGAUUGCCUUAGUAACGGCGAGUGAAGCGGCAACAGCUCAAAUUUGAAAUCUGGCCCUUGGGUCCGAAUUGUAAUUUGUAGAGGAUGAUUUUGGUGCGGUAUCUUCCGAGUUCCUUGGAACAGGACGCCUUAGAGGGUGAGAGCCCCGUACGGUUGAAUGCCUAGCCUCUGUAAAUCUCCUUCGACGAGUCGAGUAGUUUGGGAAUGCUGCUCUAAAUGGGAGGUAAAUUUCUUCUAAAGCUAAAUAUUGGCCAGAGACCGAUAGCGCACAAGUAGAGUGAUCGAAAGAUGAAAAGCACUUUGAAAAGAGGGUUAAAUAGCACGUGAAAUUGUUGAAAGGGAAGGAUUUGUGACCAGACUUUUUCUGGGCGGAUCAUCCGGGGUUCUCUCCGGUGCACUUCGCCCAGUAAAGGCCAGCAUCGGUUUUCGGCGUGGGAUAAAAGCAGUAGGAAUGUGGCUCUCUACGGGGAGUGUUAUAGCCUAUUGUAUAAUACCGCGCUGGGGACCGAGGU